Molecule: ribosomal RNA, 253 nt
Filed under: uncultured bacterium
Lineage: Bacteria
Description: partial 16S ribosomal RNA
Rfam family: Bacterial small subunit ribosomal RNA
Source: RNAcentral
CACGGGGGGAGCAAGCGUUGUUCGGAAUCACUGGGCGUAAAGGGCGCGUAGGCGGCCUGCUAAGUCGGAUGUGAAAUCCCUCGGCUCAACCGAGGAACUGCAUCCGAUACUGGCGGGCUUGAAUCCGGGAGAGGGAUGUGGAAUUCCAGGUGUAGCGGUGAAAUGCGUAGAUAUCUGGAGGAACACCGGUGGCGAAGGCGGCAUCCUGGACCGGUAUUGACGCUGAGGCGCGAAAGCUAGGGGAGCAAACGGG